CCUACGGGUGGCAGCAGUGAGGAAUAUUGGUCAAUGGGCGCGAGCCUGAACCAGCCAAGUCGCGUGAGGGAAGACGGUCCUAUGGAUUGUAAACUUCUUUUGUCGGGGAGCAAAAGACGCCACGCGUGGCGUUCCGAGUGUACCCGAAGAAUAAGCAUCGGCUACCUCCGUGCCAGCAGCCGCGGUAAUACGGAGGAUGCGAGCGUUAUCCGGAUUUAUUGGUGUAAAAGGGUGCGCAGGCGGAAGAUAAAGUCAGCGGUAAAAUUGUGGGGCUCAACCUCAUCGAGCAGUUGAAACUGGUUGUCUUGAGUGCAUGAGAGGUAGGCGGAAUGCGUGGUGUAGCGGUGAAAUGCAUAGAUAUCACGAAGAACUCCGAUUGCGAAGGCAGCAUAC
RNAcentral lists this ribosomal RNA (393 nucleotides) under uncultured bacterium. RNAcentral's name for it is "partial 16S ribosomal RNA". It matches the Rfam family "Bacterial small subunit ribosomal RNA", at positions 338 to 729 of the family's 1533-position model. The record is from RNAcentral.